Non-coding RNA from Fundulus heteroclitus (mummichog), 459 nucleotides. The record is from the annotation of a RefSeq genome assembly. NCBI's taxonomy places the organism in Eukaryota, Metazoa, Chordata, Actinopteri, Cyprinodontiformes, Fundulidae.
AUGUUCUCUGUAGCUCUGCUGCUGCUGCUGGCUGCUGGAUCCUGUGUAAAGUGUGAAGAGCUGAUACAACCAGCCUCUGUGACUGUGCAGCCAGGUCAACGUCUGACCAUCAGCUGUCAGGUCUCUUAUUCUCUGGACAGCUAUUGGACACACUGGAUCAGACAGCCUGAUGGGAAAGGACUGGAGUGGAUUGGUGAUGCACAAAGUGGUGGCAAGUCAGACUACAAUGAUAUGCUAAAAAACAAGUUCAGCAUUACGUUACAGAUUUCCAGUAAAACAGUGACUCUGAAUGGACAGAAUAUGAUGCCUGAAGACUCUGCUGUGUAUUACUGUGCCAGACGAGACCACAGUGAUACAAACCAGCAGCACAGCUGUACAAAAACCCCUCAGAACAUUUGUAAUACAAACUCACCAGAGGAGGCACUCUUGAAUCAGCUUUAUAUAGACUGGAUAAAUUGA